UUUAUAAAACUGGGUUACAUGGUCACCCACGGGGCAGCCGUGGGCUGGAGCUGAGCCACAGCUGCCCCCUUCAGUGGGGACCUGCCUGCCCUUUGCCCCAGUCCCCUCUGCUGAGGUCAAGGCGCCCUUUAGCUCCUCAUGGUGUGGCCUAGAAAUGUCCCCUGUCCUCCAGUCUCUGUAGAGGGGCCCUGUUGGGUCUCUCCAGACAUCUGAGGCCUGCGGGUACCCUGGCCUCCUGCCCGGGCCAAAUGGUGCCCCUGCCCCACGUGCUGCAGAUGUGAAGUUCGACGCCGUGAGCGGUGACUACUAUCCCAUCAUCUACUUCAAUGACUACUGGAACCUGCAGAAGGACUACUACCCCAUCAACGAGAGCCUGGCCAGCCUGCCGCUCCGCGUCUCCUUCUGCCCGCUCUCGCUUUGGCGCUGGCAGCUCUAUGCUGCCCAGAGCACCAAGUCGCCCUGGAACUUCCUGGGCGAUGAGUUGUACGAGCAGUCAGAUGAGGAGCAGGACUCGGUGAAGGUGGCCCUGCUGGAGACCAACCCCUACCUGCUGGCGCUCACCAUCAUCGUGUCUAUCGUUCACAGUGUCUUCGAGUUCCUGGCCUUCAAGAAUGAUAUCCAGUUCUGGAACAGCCGGCAGUCCCUGGAGGGCCUGUCCGUGCGCUCCGUCUUCUUUGGCGUUUUCCAGUCAUUCGUGGUCCUCCUCUACAUCCUGGACAACGAGACCAACUUCGUGGUCCAGGUCAGCGUCUUCAUUGGGGUCCUCAUCGACCUCUGGAAGAUCACCAAGGUCAUGGACGUCCGG
This 805-nucleotide small RNA is filed under the name Pan troglodytes (chimpanzee). Its description in RNAcentral is "retained intron". The record is from RNAcentral. Lineage: Eukaryota; Metazoa; Chordata; Mammalia; Primates; Hominidae.